GCCACGAGAAAAAGGUUUCAAUACCUUCCAGUGCAGAAGCAACAUAGAAAAUGCUUUGACAUUUUUAAAGAGCAGAUCACUCAAGCUCAUAAAUAUUCAUGUUGCUGACAUUAUUGAAGGAAAACCUUCCAUUGUGCUUGGCCUAAUUUGGACAAUUAUAUUUCAUUUUCAUAUUGAAGAACUUGCCAGGACACUUGCUUGUACUUACAAUUAGCCUUCACUUGAUUGUUCAAGUGCUGUUGACUCCUCUCCAAAGGCAAGCCGAUCAGCUAAAAAAAGUGCUAAAAUUAAGGAACGGUGGAAGCUAUCUGCUACAAAGGCUCUUUUGUUGUGGGCAAAAGAACAGUGUUCACUGCAUGGCUCUAUCAAUGUGACUGAUUUCAAGUCAAGCUGGCGAAGCGGGCUGCCUUUUUUAGCCAUCAUCAAAACCUUACGACCAGGUCUGGUUGAUUUGGAGAAGGCAAAAUCUAGAAGCAAUAAAGAAAACCUGAAAGAGGCUUUCAGAAUUGCAGAACUGGAGCUGAAUAUUCCACGGCUUCUUGAAC
Molecule: long non-coding RNA, 545 nt
Organism: Calidris pugnax (ruff)
Lineage: Eukaryota; Metazoa; Chordata; Aves; Charadriiformes; Scolopacidae
Exons: 4
Source: RefSeq, a predicted model, not a curated record